UUGCUCCCUUUAGCAGUAUAUAUACUAAAACUGGAACAAUACAGGUUACCUAGUAUGGCCCCUGAGCAAGGAUGACAUGCAAAUUCAUGUUUCAGUGAAAAAAAAU
Manis pentadactyla (Chinese pangolin) is the source of this 106-nucleotide small nuclear RNA. The record is from RefSeq and is a predicted model, not a curated record. Lineage: Eukaryota; Metazoa; Chordata; Mammalia; Pholidota; Manidae.